CCUACGGGUGGCAGCAGUGGGGAAUAUUGCACAAUGGGGGAAACCCUGAUGCAGCGACGCCGCGUGAGUGAAGAAGUAUUUCGGUAUGUAAAGCUCUAUCAGCAGGGAAGAAAAUGACGGUACCUGAUUAAGCAGCCCCUGCUAACUACGUGCCAGCAGCCGCGGUAAUACGUAGGGGGCAAGCGUUAUCCGGAUUUACUGGGUGUAAAGGGAGCGUAGACGGCAGCACAAGUCUGGAGUGAAAUGCAGGGGCUGAAGCCCGGAACUGCUUUGGAACCUGUGCAGCUAGAGUGCAGGAGAGGUAAGUGGGAUGCCUAGUGUAGAGUUGAAAUGCGUAGAUAUUAGGAGGAACACCAGUGGCGAAGGCGGCUUACUGGACUGUAACUGACGUUGAGGCUCGAAAGCGUGGGGAGCAAACAGGAGUAGAUACCCUUGUAGUC
Molecule: ribosomal RNA, 440 nt
Filed under: uncultured bacterium
Lineage: Bacteria
Description: partial 16S ribosomal RNA
Rfam family: Bacterial small subunit ribosomal RNA
Source: RNAcentral